Long non-coding RNA from Perca flavescens (yellow perch), 1760 nucleotides. RefSeq lists it as uncharacterized. Lineage: Eukaryota; Metazoa; Chordata; Actinopteri; Perciformes; Percidae. The transcript is spliced from 3 exons. The record is from RefSeq and is a predicted model, not a curated record.
UGUGCGUGUGUAUUUUAAAUUUCUGUGUGGUUUGGUACCAAAUUGAUGUGUUUAAAUUGUCUAAUACUACUUAUUGUCUUCUUAAAUAAGUUCAAAUUCACCCCUUGGUCUGUUAUUCCUGAGUCCUAGUUCUAGAUCUCCUUCAAACCUAGACUCUGGGCCUAUCUGUCAGUGAGUAACUACAGUGCCACACUACACAUUUUAAAAAAAAUUAUUAUUAGGCUACUUGUUUUGCAGCUCUUCUGGAUAUUUUGCUCCUAGUCUGUGUGAACUUUCUACAAAGUUAGUUAACUGGUCCCUCUUCAGUCAUAAAGGAGUAGACGCGUUUUGACUUGCUCUAGUGUGGUUUUUGUGUUCACAAUAUGUAUAUUACCAUCAAAGUGUUUGUGCAUACAGACGCAAAGUUAAGAAGUGUUCUAAAUAAUAUGUAGCCCUGGAUACAUUUCAUUUAGAUAUUUAUUGAAAUUAUUUUAAUGCAAUACAAAUAUAUAAAUAUGGUGAAGAAAAUAUAAGUUAAUGCCAUAUGUUAAAAUGGUUAACAUUAAUAAAACGUUUAAAAGGUAAGAUUUACAUUUACAGUUUUUAAAAGAUCAAAGUUUUAAGUUGAUGCAGUUGACUGUGGUUUGAGUGAAGUGUACAUGAUUCAGCACGUGUAAGGGUAAUCUGCCACACAGUUUAACAUGAUAGCAGCCUAAUAUGUCAAUCAUCGUCUUUCUGUACUUUUGUUGGAAGGUCAUGACCUAUCAGCCAAUGUAAUUACAAUCCCAGGUAGAGGGGCGGGGCUUAGCUGUAACCUGCAGAGAUCCAGUCAGAGAGACAGAGUCAGAGACGCUAAGUGAACGGACUGUGUGAGGUUUAGUAGGUUGUAGAAGGACAUUGUUAUCCAUUACUGAGGCUGACAACCAGUUCUGCUGUGUUUUGGCGUAUUGGAAUCGACAAGAGGAGACGGACAUUUGUGAGUGUAAAAGAGAGAGGAUCGGGGAAACUCCUUUGGACCACACAGAGAGCGAUCUUCCAUCCUGCUGGUGUGAUGUAGACUGUCGCUGCUGUUUUCUGUUCUGCUGAUCUUCCUACUGUGGUUUACCCGGUGCUCUGCCUGCUGCCAUCGCCAAGUUCGCCUUUUUCACAUAUCCCCUUGACUGGGAUUCUGACUCCCCUCAUCCGCUCAAUCUACAUCUUCCUGUAAGGGAGAUCACAUUCUCUGAAACAGUGCUGAUCCAGUUCAACUUUUCCCGGGGAGGCUGCGGGGUCAUCCAUUGUUUUGAAAGGUGUCACUUGACUGUCAGCUCUCCAUCGCAGCCCUGCAUGGCAGUCAAGAAAAGAACCUCCUGAACCAUUCCUGCUUAACUCACCUCCACUGGACCUUGCACAUUUUUUUCCAUCUCAACAUCAAACAUAUUGAACGAUACUCUAAAAUGUAUAUAGAAAUUGCUUACUUACUUUUCCUGGCACAUUUAACAUUAACUUGUACGUAAUACAUCCUCAUACACUGGAGUAUCUCAUGAGUACAGAUGCCCAUCAAUACGCUGUUGCAGGAGAGGUAAAUGACACCAAGAUAUGGCAGUUGAAGAAAAACAAAUGUAGAGUAUGUGAUAACAGGACAUGCAAGUCAUCAAUUAUCAACAGUGUUAUUUUUGUGGUGGAUAAGUAUAGAUUGAUCACACAAGUAAGGUUAACUAGCAAGUUGUUCGUUAAGGGCUGACGGCUGGUUAACAUUACGGACAAAAACUAUUUGUUCCUCGUAUUCUCUUGUGUGUAUC